Daucus carota subsp. sativus is the source of this 289-nucleotide long non-coding RNA. RefSeq lists it as uncharacterized. The transcript has 2 exons. Lineage: Eukaryota; Viridiplantae; Streptophyta; Magnoliopsida; Apiales; Apiaceae. The record is from RefSeq and is a predicted model, not a curated record.
UACAGCAAGAGGAAAAACGUCGCCUUUGGUGCCGAAGGCCAUGAAGACAGCGUUAGGCUUAUUCCUCAGUUCCAUUGUUCCGCCAACUACCACCAGCUCACCACUGGGAGCACUGCUCUCGGGUGUUUAAAAAAAACAGAAUCACCUCCCCCAGAACAAACAGGCUUACAAGAAGCCAGUUGCAGCAACACUAAAUGCACGUUUUAGGUUAUCAAAUGAGAUUUCAGCAUCUGGAAGAACUUCUGGAUUCUUGAAAUUAAUAAAAAAAAAUCAAUAUAAAGUCCGCAAA